RNAcentral lists this long non-coding RNA (429 nucleotides) under Mytilus galloprovincialis (Mediterranean mussel). The record is from RNAcentral. Lineage: Eukaryota; Metazoa; Mollusca; Bivalvia; Mytilida; Mytilidae.
GACAAUUGUCUAAGCUGAGAAAAGUAAUUAAAUAAUGCAGACAGUUGUUAUGAACUUUUAAUUUCUUUAAAAUAUUAGUUCUGAGCUCGUGAUCAAUAAAAAAUUUAAUUAAAAACACAGGUAGAGAUUAGCGAUCAUUAGCCAAUAUUUCCCGGAGGCAUUACUAUAGUUAUUAGGAGGGCCCUCAGGAUUAUAACACUUUACUGGAGUGGCAGUUUUAUUACAGGAAAAGGAUAACAACAAAAAAUAAGUUCAAAAUGGCAAUUUAGACAAUGUUAGAAACUCGAUCUCAACGAAAUGACAUUGAAUGACCGAAAUUAUUUCUGUAAAAAAAUAAAAUUUGUCCUAAAUCCCAAUUACUCAUUUAGGACAAACCACUUUCAGUUUAGGUCAAGACUGGCAUAUAUGACCGUUUCCGGACCCUUGUUC